Molecule: long non-coding RNA, 312 nt
Filed under: Phoenix dactylifera (date palm)
Lineage: Eukaryota; Viridiplantae; Streptophyta; Magnoliopsida; Arecales; Arecaceae
Description: long non-coding RNA (PDAC_LNC001966)
Source: RNAcentral
UUACACUUCGACAAAUAUGUUACAAACUGUAGGGUUAGCUACAGUGGCUCGUUGGACACAGCUUUUGAGGACCAGGUGGGGAGAAGGACAAAGUAGAUCACCACAAAAUAUGGGUGGCAGGACGCUUGUAAAAUAAUAAUUACAUCAUAUAGAGAAUGGAGAAAAAGACACAGUUGUGUCAGAACGUUUUGUUUGCUGGUCUCCCGCGUGUUGGGGUGGUGGGCAUGCAAACCCAACCCCUUCUUUCUUUUAAUCAUCGUUGCACCCCAAAAAACCAUUAAGCUUUGAAUGUAAUAACGAGCCAUCAAAUAU